UUCAUGGAGAGUUUGAUCCUGGCUCAGGACGAACGCUGGCGGCGUGCCUAAUACAUGCAAGUCGAGCGGGCCGACGGGAGCUUGCUCCCUUAGGUUAGCGGCGGACGGGUGAGUAACACGUGGGUAACCUGCCUGUAAGACUGGGAUAACUCCGGGAAACCGGGGCUAAUACCGGAUGCUUGAUUGAACCGCAUGGUUCAAUU
This 203-nucleotide ribosomal RNA is filed under the name Bacillus haynesii. RNAcentral's name for it is "partial 16S ribosomal RNA". It matches the Rfam family "Bacterial small subunit ribosomal RNA", at positions 1 to 200 of the family's 1533-position model. The record is from RNAcentral. Lineage: Bacteria; Bacillati; Bacillota; Bacilli; Caryophanales; Bacillaceae.